AUUGGACGCUGGCGGCAUGCCUUACACAUGCAAGUCGAACGGCAGCACGGGUGCUUGCACCUGGUGGCGAGUGGCGAACGGGUGAGUAAUACAUCGGAACGUACCUUAUCGUGGGGGAUAACGCAGCGAAAGUUGCGCUAAUACCGCAUACGCCCUGAGGGGGAAAGCGGGGGACCGUAAGGCCUCGCGCGAUUAGAGCGGCCGAUGUCUGAUUAGCUUGUUGGUGAGGUAAAAGCUCACCAAGGCGAUGAUCAGUAGCUGGUCUGAGAGGACGAUCAGCCACACUGGGACUGAGACACGGCCCAGACUCCUACGGGAGGCAGCAGUGGGGAAUUUUGGACAAUGGGGGCAACCCUGAUCCAGCAAUGCCGCGUGAGUGAAGAAGGCCUUCGGGUGGUAAAGCUCUUUUGUCAGGGAAGAAACAGCAGCUCUAACACAGACUGCGAAUGACGGUACCUGAAGAAUAAGCACCGGCUAACUACGUGCCAGCAGCCGCGGUAAUACGUAGGGUGCGAGCGUUAAUCGGAAUUACUGGGCGUAAAGCGUGCGCAGGCGGUUAUACAAGACAGGCGUGAAAUCCCCGGGCUUAACCUGGGAAUGGCGUCUGUGACUGUAUAGCUAGAGUGUGUCAGAGGGGGGUGGAAUUCCACGUGUAGCAGUGAAAUGCGUAGAUAUGUGGAGGAACACCAAUGGCGAAGGCAGCCCCCUGGGAUAACAC
This 718-nucleotide ribosomal RNA is filed under the name uncultured bacterium. RNAcentral's name for it is "bacterial SSU rRNA". It matches the Rfam family "Bacterial small subunit ribosomal RNA", at positions 28 to 740 of the family's 1533-position model. The record is from RNAcentral.